RNAcentral lists this unclassified non-coding RNA (510 nucleotides) under uncultured Glomus. Its description in RNAcentral is "SSU rRNA". It matches the Rfam family "Eukaryotic small subunit ribosomal RNA", at positions 569 to 1081 of the family's 1831-position model. Lineage: Eukaryota; Fungi; Glomeromycota; Glomeromycetes; Glomerales; Glomeraceae. The record is from RNAcentral.
AGCAGCCGCGGUAAUUCCAGCUCCAAUAGCGUAUAUUAAAGUUGUUGCAGUUAAAAAGCUCGUAGUUGAAUUUCGGGAUCAAAGGAUCGGUCAUGCCUUGGUAUGUACUGGUUUUAUUGGUUCUCACCUUCUAAAGAACCAUAAUGUCAUUCAUUUGAUGUUAUGGGGAAUUAGGACUGUUACCUUGAAAAAGUUAGAGUGUUUAAAGCAGGCUUACGCUUGAAUACAUUAGCAUGGAAUAAUGAAAUAGGACAUCAGAUUCUAUUUUGUUGGUUUCUAGGAUCGAUGUAACGAUUAAUAGGGAUAGUUGGGGGCAUUAGUAUUCAAUUGUCAGAGGUGAAAUUCUUGGAUUUAUUGAAGACUAACUACUGCGAAAGCAUUUGCCAAGGAUGUUUUCAUUAAUCAAGAACGAAAGUUAGGGGAUCGAAGACGAUCAGAUACCGUCGUAGUCUUAACCAUAAACUAUGCCGACUAGGGAUCGGAUGAUGUUAAUUUUAUAAUGACUCAUUC